AUACGGAGGAUGCGAGCGUUAUCCGGAUUUAUUGGGUUUAAAGGGAGCGUAGGUGGGAUAUUAAGUCAGCUGUGAAAGUUUGGGGCUCAACCUUAAAAUUGCAGUUGAUACUGGUUUCCUUGAGUACGGUACAGGUGGGCGGAAUUCGUGGUGUAUCGGUGAAAUGCUUAGAUAUCACGAAGAACUCCGAUCGAGAAGGCAGCUCACCGGGCCGGAACUGACACUGAUGCUCGAAAGUGCGGGUAUCAAACAGGAUUAGAUACCCUGGUAGUCCGCACAGUAAACGAUGAAUACUCGCUGUUUGCGAUACACGGUAAGCGGCCAAGCGAAAGCGUUAAGUAUUCCACCUGGGGAGUACGCCGGCAACGGUGAAACUCAAAUGAAUUGACGGG
RNAcentral lists this ribosomal RNA (392 nucleotides) under uncultured bacterium. Its description in RNAcentral is "partial 16S ribosomal RNA". It matches the Rfam family "Bacterial small subunit ribosomal RNA", at positions 523 to 917 of the family's 1533-position model. The record is from RNAcentral.